CGCAUACUCCCUCCGUCCAAAAAAUCUUGUCCCAAUCUUGUUCCUUAAAUGGAUGUAUAUAACACUAAUUUGGUGCUAGAUACAUCCAUUUGAGAGACAAGUUUUUCCGGACGGUGGGAGUACUGU
Molecule: non-coding RNA, 126 nt
Organism: Triticum aestivum (bread wheat)
Lineage: Eukaryota; Viridiplantae; Streptophyta; Magnoliopsida; Poales; Poaceae
Source: Rfam